Long non-coding RNA from Capsicum annuum, 1091 nucleotides. RefSeq lists it as uncharacterized. NCBI's taxonomy places the organism in Eukaryota, Viridiplantae, Streptophyta, Magnoliopsida, Solanales, Solanaceae. The transcript is spliced from 2 exons. The record is from RefSeq and is a predicted model, not a curated record.
CCAUAUAAUAAAAACCAACAGUCAGCCACCACUCUAGGCCCAAAAUCGUUUGACCCGGUCCACCCUUUUAAUCACCAUCAGUGAUCAAACCAAUAACAGCCACAACAAAGACCAAUUUCAGCCCAACAAAACCCAACACCAGCUUCAGCUAGCGUAUCACACAAACAACGACAAUAUAACCAACAAGUUCAAACCGCGGCCCGACCCCACCAGCUAAAUCAACGGCAACCCGACCCAGAACCAGUCAAACCGGCGUACAACCCACGAAAUCCAGCUUGUCCAACAAUGUCUCAUCUGCCAAUGUUUAAAAUUCCAAUACAUAAUUGUUUGAUUCCAGCUCAUACCGUUAUCUUCCAAGAAGAUUCCUCAUUAAAAUCACAAAAUUGCCCCCGAUUUUUCAACCCCACAGUCAAGAUUUGAGAUUUUUGGGUUUCUAUAUAUAAACCCAUUUAUUCCACUGUUCAAGAGGAUUUUUUCGGAACCAAAAAGGGGACUAAAAAUUCUCUACUCGGUUAGGGUUCGAACUUUGGUCCCCAACUUGGAGUUGUGAGAAUUUUGGUUCCAGAUUCGUGUUUUUUUGUUGUUCUCGAUUCAAGGAAAGACGUGAAGUCUCGUUGACUCGUCAUCCCGAGUUCGUUGCCCAAAAAAAGUAUAAGCUAAGAUGCUAGAGAACCAACAAGGAUGGAAGAAAAAGAGCUUAAAUCUGAAGUAAUUAAAAGACAAGUGCAGUUGUCGACAUUCAUGAUAGGUCAUCAGCCCAGUGAUAGGCUAUCACGGCCAUCGUCAGCCUCAAACGGGGAAUGAGUUCCAGCUGGUAGAAUCGACGACAUUUCUGAUAAGUCGUCACAGUCCUGAUAAGCCGUCAGAAUUUGCCGUCAACCUAAGAUAGGACUAGUGCAAAUUUGAAGAAGACCUGACGACAUUCUUGAUAAGUCGUCAAGAUCCUGAUAAGGCUUUACCAAUAGUCGUCGUCUAUUCUGAGAAAAAUUUGUAACCUUGAUUUUAUUUCCUUAUUUAGGGUGAACUAUUUAAAGCUUUGUUUUAGGAUUUUCUAGAGAUAUCCGCACAUUGAGUUUUGACAAUACUUUUGA